CCGAGUUUACAACUCCCAAACCCAAUGUGAACGUUACCAACUGUUGCCUCGGCGGGGUCACGCCCCGGGUGCGUAAAAGCCCCGGAACCAGGCGCCCGCCGGAGGAACCAACCAACUCUUUCUGUAGUCCCCUCGCGGACGUAUUUCUUACAGCUCUGAGCAAAAAUUCAAAAUGAAUCA
RNAcentral lists this unclassified non-coding RNA (180 nucleotides) under soil metagenome. RNAcentral's name for it is "partial internal transcribed spacer 1". The record is from RNAcentral.